Molecule: ribosomal RNA, 807 nt
Filed under: Cellulosimicrobium marinum
Lineage: Bacteria; Bacillati; Actinomycetota; Actinomycetes; Micrococcales; Promicromonosporaceae
Description: bacterial SSU rRNA
Rfam family: Bacterial small subunit ribosomal RNA
Source: RNAcentral
UGCCCAGCUUGCUGGGUGGAUUAGUGGCGAACGGGUGAGUAACACGUGAGUAACCUGCCCCUGACUUCGGGAUAAGCGCUGGAAACGGCGUCUAAUACCGGAUAUGAGCCGUCCUCGCAUGGGGGUGGUUGGAAAGUUUUUCGGUCAGGGAUGGGCUCGCGGCCUAUCAGCUUGUUGGUGGGGUGAUGGCCUACCAAGGCGACGACGGGUAGCCGGCCUGAGAGGGCGACCGGCCACACUGGGACUGAGACACGGCCCAGACUCCUACGGGAGGCAGCAGUGGGGAAUAUUGCACAAUGGGCGAAAGCCUGAUGCAGCGACGCCGCGUGAGGGAUGACGGCCUUCGGGUUGUAAACCUCUUUCAGCAGGGAAGAAGCGCAAGUGACGGUACCUGCAGAAGAAGCGCCGGCUAACUACGUGCCAGCAGCCGCGGUAAUACGUAGGGCGCAAGCGUUGUCCGGAAUUAUUGGGCGUAAAGAGCUCGUAGGCGGUUUGUCGCGUCUGGUGUGAAAACUCGAGGCUCAACCUCGAGCUUGCAUCGGGUACGGGCAGACUAGAGUGCGGUAGGGGAGACUGGAAUUCCUGGUGUAGCGGUGGAAUGCGCAGAUAUCAGGAGGAACACCGAUGGCGAAGGCAGGUCUCUGGGCCGCAACUGACGCUGAGGAGCGAAAGCAUGGGGAGCGAACAGGAUUAGAUACCCUGGUAGUCCAUGCCGUAAACGUUGGGCACUAGGUGUGGGGCUCAUUCCACGAGUUCCGUGCCGCAGCAAACGCAUUAAGUGCCCCGCCUGGGGAGUACGGCCGCAAG